UACGGGGGGGGCAAGCGUUGUCCGGAAUCAUUGGGCGUAAAGCGCGUGUAGGCGGCCAGAAAAGUCCGCUGUGAAAACUCGAGGCUCAACUUCGAGCUGUCGGUGGAAACUUUCUGGCUAGAGUCCGGAAGAGGAGAAUGGAAUUCCUGGUGUAGCGGUGAAAUGCGCAGAUAUCAGGAAGAACACCCGUGGCGAAGGCGGUUCUCUGGGACGGUACUGACGCUGAGACGCGAAAGCGUGGGGAGCGAACAGG
This 253-nucleotide ribosomal RNA is filed under the name uncultured bacterium. RNAcentral describes it as "partial 16S ribosomal RNA". It matches the Rfam family "Bacterial small subunit ribosomal RNA", at positions 524 to 776 of the family's 1533-position model. The record is from RNAcentral.